RNAcentral lists this ribosomal RNA (453 nucleotides) under Montenegrina laxa errans. RNAcentral describes it as "partial 16S ribosomal RNA". It matches the Rfam family "Bacterial large subunit ribosomal RNA", at positions 1811 to 2598 of the family's 2925-position model. The record is from RNAcentral. Lineage: Eukaryota; Metazoa; Mollusca; Gastropoda; Stylommatophora; Clausiliidae.
AAACAUAGCCAGUAGAUUUGAAAUUACUGGUGCGACCUGCCCAGUGAGAUUUUAACGGCCGCAGUACCCUGACUGUGCAAAGGUAGCAUAAUCAUUUGGCUUUUAAUUGAAGUCUCGUAUGAAAGGAAAAACGUAUAAAAACUGUCUCCAGAAAUAAAUCUGUUAAAAUUGUUCUAUAAGGUGAAAAUACCUUAAAUAAUAAAAAUAGACGAGAAGACCCUUAGAAUUUUAAUAAAACCAAACCUAUAUAUGGGGUAAUUUUUGUUGGGGCAACAUUUUUUCAUAAAAUAAAAAAUAGCCAUUAAAUAUAUAACGAUUGAGUAUAAUAAAAUAAAAAUUACCUAAGGGAUAACAGCAUAAUUUUAAGUGAAGAUUGUGACCUCGAUGUUGGACUAGGAACUAUUAAGGCUAAUCGUUUUAAUAUAAUAGGUUCUGUUCGAACUUUGCUUCCUA